Molecule: ribosomal RNA, 468 nt
Filed under: uncultured bacterium
Lineage: Bacteria
Description: partial 16S ribosomal RNA
Rfam family: Bacterial small subunit ribosomal RNA
Source: RNAcentral
GGCGAACGCUGGCGGCGUGCUUAACACAUGCAAGUCGAACGGAAAGGCCCUGCUUUUGUGGGGUGCUCGAGUGGCGAACGGGUGAGUAACACGUGAGUAACCUGCCCUUGACUUUGGGAUAACUUCAGGAAACUGGGGCUAAUACCGGAUAGGAGCUCCUACUGCAUGGUGGGGGUUGGAAAGUUUCGGCGGUUGGGGAUGGACUCGCGGCUUAUCAGCUUGUUGGUGGGGUAGUGGCUUACCAAGGCUUUGACGGGUAGCCGGCCUGAGAGGGUGACCGGCCACAUUGGGACUGAGAUACGGCCCAGACUCCUACGGGAGGCAGCAGUGGGGAAUAUUGCACAAUGGGCGGAAGCCUGAUGCAGCAACGCCGCGUGCGGGAUGACGGCCUUCGGGUUGUAAACCGCUUUCGCCUGUGACGAAGCGUGAGUGACGGUAAUGGGUAAAGAAGCACCGGCUAACUACGUG